This 478-nucleotide long non-coding RNA is filed under the name Ananas comosus (pineapple). Its description in RNAcentral is "long non-coding RNA (ACOM_LNC010064)". Lineage: Eukaryota; Viridiplantae; Streptophyta; Magnoliopsida; Poales; Bromeliaceae. The record is from RNAcentral.
AGCGGAAACAUAAUAUACUUGGCUUGCACGAGGGCAAGCGAUAGCCAAAGUGAAAGUACUAAACUAAACAACAUGCAAGUAAUAUGAUUAACUUUAAAUCACAUACAUGCAUAUAACUUAUACAUUUACAUUCUUUUUUUUAACAUCAUUUCUUCUCUUUUACAUCACAUCAUAUCUCAAAAUAUAACUCUAUGCAAUUAAACAUAAAAUCUUUUACAUCAUUCAUAUUCUUUUUGUAACGCCCCCAAUAGUCUCACAUCGGAUGGGAUACUGAUUUCGAUCCGUUUAUAUGAGGCCUACACGCUAGUAAAAAAAAAAAAAAAAACUGGGCUUAAGUAUUUUGGGCCGGUGUUUGGGCAUAACGAGUUAUUGUUGCUAGCGGGUCGAGUCGUUGCAACUGGUAUCAGAGCUGAAUACCAGCCGAAGGUGUGAGAACUAAGUGCUAUGCGGGACAAAGUGCUACACCAACGGGUUUGGU